AUGGAUUUCUUUUCAUCUCUAACAUGGAAUCAGCAGGUCUCUGUGCCAUUUGGCGCAACAGAUGGUUUAGUUGAAGGUUCUUGCAACAUGGAACUAUUUUCAUCGACAACAUGUCUUCAGCGGGUCUCUGCGCCAUUUGGCGCAACGGGUCAACUAGUAAUCCUUAAUAAGCACAAACUUCUCCGAUAUAGUGUAGUUCGGAGAAUUCAAAAAGAUAAUAGUGUCGGCAUUCUGGGAACGGGGGUCCCCAGACUUGCCUGUCUGCAGCAUGCGGCGUGGCUCCACCAGUGGCCCAGUGCGGCGCAUCUUCAUGAGCCAACAAUCAAGACCCUCGCGAGGGGCCAAGCCUCGUGGGGAGGACAACACAAGGCCUCCUCAGGGGCGGCCUCACAAGGCAGGCUCGUGAGGAGGCGGAGAGAUCAAGGCAAGGGGUACCUCGCGAGGUUCCCGUGA
Molecule: ribosomal RNA, 453 nt
Filed under: Triticum aestivum (bread wheat)
Lineage: Eukaryota; Viridiplantae; Streptophyta; Magnoliopsida; Poales; Poaceae
Description: partial small subunit ribosomal RNA
Source: RNAcentral